RNAcentral lists this long non-coding RNA (668 nucleotides) under Homo sapiens (human). RNAcentral's name for it is "non-protein coding lnc-ZNRF3-1:1". Lineage: Eukaryota; Metazoa; Chordata; Mammalia; Primates; Hominidae. The record is from RNAcentral.
ACAGAGGGAGGAAGAAGAGGUGAUGAAGGAAACAGAGGGAGGAAGGAGAGGUGAUGAUGGAAACAGGGAGGAGGGAGAGGUGAUGAAGGAAAUGGAGGAGGGAGAGGUGAUGAAGGAAAUGGAGGAGGGAGAGGUGAUGAUGGAAACAGGGAGGAGGGAGAGGUGAUGAAGGAAAUGGAGGAGGGAGAGGUGAUGAAGGAAACAGGGAGGAGGGAGAGGUGAUGAAGGAAAUGGAGGAGGGAGAGGUGAUGAAGGAAACAGGGAGGAGGGAGAGGUGAUGAAGGAAAUGGAGGAGGGAGAGGUGAUGAUGGAAACAGGGAGGAGGGAGAGGUGAUGAUGGAAACAGGGAGGAGGGAGAGGUGAUGAAGGAAAUGGAGGAGGGAGAGGUGAUAAUGGAAACAGGGAGGAGGGAGAGGUGAUGAAGGAAACAGGGAGGAGGGAGAGGUGAUGAUGGAAACAGGGAGGAGGGAGACGUGAUGAUGGAAACAGGGAGGAAGGAGAGGUGAUAAAGGAAACGGAGGAGGGAGAGUUGAUGAUGGAAACAGGGAGAAAGGAGAAGUGAUGAAGGAAACGGAGGAAGGAGAGGUGCUGACGGAAACAGAGGGUGAAAUGGUGCGGCUGCAAGCCAAGGCAUAUGGGCAGCUGCUAGGAGGUUGAAAAGGCAAGGA